This is a long non-coding RNA of Drosophila subpulchrella, 880 nucleotides long. RefSeq lists it as uncharacterized. The record is from RefSeq and is a predicted model, not a curated record. The transcript has 2 exons. NCBI's taxonomy places the organism in Eukaryota, Metazoa, Arthropoda, Insecta, Diptera, Drosophilidae.
ACGUAAUAAACAACGCAAACGUAAUCGGAAACAUAACAAACAACGCAAACAUAAUUUACCCCGACCAACCCAGACUUGGGUUACCUGAACGCGAUCGCCGACUGGACUCUCAUGGAUGUUGCUGCCGGAAUCACUGUCUGCUAAUGAUGCCUACUCGAAUACACGUAGCUAAUAAAAGCUGGGGAAAGGAAAAGUCGACUUCCAAAUAACAGCUGAUCAAGGCUACCAAAAUACCAAAACGCAACCUGAAACGUAACAAACAACGCAAACGUAUCGUACCUCUGCCACCAGACGUACUUAAGCCUACUGCUGUUCCCGAACUGAAACAUAACAAACAACAUAAUUCUGCUGCGGCCGAAUACCAUCUAACCCCGGCGCACUACCGAGGCUUGGGGGUCCGACGUCGUUGUGUGACUGCAGCCGCUGAAGUGGACAUCGCUUCCAGCUUGAUCUGGGUCAACCGUGGUCGGCCGCCAAUUGGACACUGGCGGGGCACGUAAGAGGGACGAGCGAUCACGGGAGUUUUCCUAAACACCGACAACCAACCGCUUACUGCCAUUUGCCUGCUGCAGCCCGCCUACUGCCAACUGCCAACCAGCCACCAACCAACAACAACAACAAGGACGUCAACGGCGAGGGACGUCACAAUUCACUACCCUAUUCUGUUUUGUUUUUUUUUUCUCUCUCUCUCUCUCUGUUAUAAUAUUAUGCGAAAACCUACCUCUUGUCAGCUACAUGACAGCAAAAUAAUGUUAAAACAUCACAAGUCUUCUGUUAUUGUUAACGUUAAAUAAUAUUCAUGUAAAUUACUAUAAUAGUAAUAAGGUGAAUAAAUUGACCAGCUCUGCCUCGGCAGGACUGAUUUUCAUAUUAAAAAAAA